RNAcentral lists this ribosomal RNA (253 nucleotides) under uncultured bacterium. Its description in RNAcentral is "partial 16S ribosomal RNA". It matches the Rfam family "Bacterial small subunit ribosomal RNA", at positions 524 to 776 of the family's 1533-position model. The record is from RNAcentral.
UACGGAGGGCGCAAGCGUUGUUCGGAAUUACUGGGCGUAAAGCGCGUGUAGGCGGCUUUGCAAGUCGGGUGUGAAAGCCCUCGGCUUAACCGAGGAAGUGCGCCCGAAACUGCAGAGCUUGAGUACCGGAGAGGAUGGCGGAAUUCCCCAAGUAGAGGUGAAAUUCGUAGAUAUGGGGAGGAACACCGGUGGCGAAGGCGGCCAUCUGGACGGAUACUGACGCUGAGGCGCGAAAGCGUGGGGAGCAAACAGG